Molecule: ribosomal RNA, 492 nt
Filed under: uncultured bacterium
Lineage: Bacteria
Description: partial 16S ribosomal RNA
Rfam family: Bacterial small subunit ribosomal RNA
Source: RNAcentral
AGUGAACGCUGGCCGUAGGCCUAACACAUGCAAGUCGAACGGCAGCACAGUAAGAGCUUGCUCUUACGGGUGGCGAGUGGCGGACGGGUGAGGAAUACAUCGGAAUCUACUUUUUCGUGGGGGAUAACGUAGGGAAACUUACGCUAAUACCGCAUACGACCUACGGGUGAAAGCAGGGGAUCUUCGGACCUUGCGCGAUUGAAUGAGCCGAUGUCGGACUAGCUAGUUGGCGGGGUAAAGGCCCACCAAGGCGACGAUCCGUAGCUGGUCUGAGAGGAUGAUCAGCCACACUGGAACUGAGACACGGUCCAGACCCCUACGGGAGGCAGCAGUGGGGAAUAUUGGACAAUGGGCGCAAGCCUGAUCCAGCCAUACCGCGUGGGUGAAGAAGGCCUUCGGGUUGUAAAGCCCUUUUGUUGGGAAAGAAAAGCAGCAGGUUAAUACCCCGCUGUUCUGACGGUACCCAAAGAAUAAGCACCGGCUAACUUCGUG